Molecule: ribosomal RNA, 172 nt
Filed under: uncultured bacterium
Lineage: Bacteria
Description: partial 16S ribosomal RNA
Rfam family: Bacterial small subunit ribosomal RNA
Source: RNAcentral
GAGGGCAUUUCAGGACAAUCCUACGAGCCCGCCGCGUGGGUAAGAAGGCCUUCGGGUUGUAAGCCCUGUCAGGUGGGAAGAACCGCAGUCUGGCCAAUUCCUGGACUGCUUGACUGAACCACCAAAUGAAGCACCGGCAUAAUUCCUGGCCACCAGCCGGGGUUAAUAAAAA